Molecule: small RNA, 744 nt
Filed under: Pongo abelii (Sumatran orangutan)
Lineage: Eukaryota; Metazoa; Chordata; Mammalia; Primates; Hominidae
Description: processed transcript
Source: RNAcentral
GGAAGAAACACAGCUCUUGACUUCUUUUUUGUAAACAUUACUAGGGAAGAUGGAAACAACAUUGCUUUUCUUUUCUCAAAUAAAUAUGUGUGAAUCAAAAGAAAAAACUUUUUUCAAGUUAAUACAUGGUUCAGGAAAAGAAGAAACAAGCAAAGAAGCCAAAAUCAGAGCUAAGGAAAAAAGAAAUAGACUAAGUCUUCUUGUGCAGAAACCUGAGUUUCAUGAAGACACCCGCUCCAGUAGAUCUGGGCACUUGGCCAGAGAAACAAGAGUCUCCCCUGAAGAGGCAGUGAAAUGGGGUGAAUCAUUUGACAAACUGCUUUCCCAUAGAGAUAGAAAGACUGAACUGAGCAGGUGAUGCAGCUAGUCUACUUACAACUGGAUGAUGAUCAAUUAGAGGGCUAAAAUUUCAAUUGACAAUAACAUAUAGACAGGAUUUCUUUCACUUAAUGAAUUAAUAUAUAAUAAUUUCAUCAUACUUUCAUUACUCAUUCAAAGUGUAGAAAGAUUUAGCAGGAUGAUUUGUCGUACAGAAAAUCCUCACCUAGCAUUCUGUAACCUUUCUUCUUUAAAAGUCGUAAAAAGCAAAAGGACAAAAUCGAAUUUGCUACUCUCUCUUUUCUCUACUGGUAAUAUUGAAGAACAGUAAACUAUCUGCAAUUUAAAUCAAGAAGAGACACAUUUAAAGAAAUCAGCACUGACCCACUAGAUAUUAUCACCUGUCAUGAUUACAAUGCGAAAUAU